Oncorhynchus tshawytscha (Chinook salmon) is the source of this 493-nucleotide long non-coding RNA. NCBI's taxonomy places the organism in Eukaryota, Metazoa, Chordata, Actinopteri, Salmoniformes, Salmonidae. The record is from Ensembl.
GCCAUCCUUUGCCUAUCCAUCCAGAGCCCUCCGUCUGUCUCUGAUGUGUGUUUACCACCUCUCUCUGUCUCCCUUGGAGGUGUCAUCUCUCUCUCUGUGUCUCUGUGUGGUUAUCAUCUCUCUCUCUCUCUCUCUCUCUCUCUCUCUCUCUCUGUGUCUCUGAUGUCUGGUUACCACCUCUCUCUCCCUAGGAGGUGUCAUCAUCUCUCUCUGUGUCUGUGAUGUGUGGUUACCACCUCUCUCUGUCUCCCUAGGAGGUGUCAUCUCUCUCUGUAUGGUUACCACCUCUCUCUGUCUCCCUAGGAGGUGUCAUCUCUCUCUCUCUGUGUCUCUGUGUGGUUACCACCUCUCUGUCUCCCUAGGAGGUGUCAUCUCUCUCUGUAUGGUUACCACCUCUCUCUGUCUCCCUAGGAGGUGUCAUCUCUCUCUCUCUGUGUCUCUGUGUGGUUACCACCUCUCUCUGUCUCCAUAGGAGGUGUCAUCAUCUCUCUCU